GACCCAGUGGCCUAUUUGAUAAGGCACUGGCCUCCUAAGCCAGGGAUUGUGGGUUUAAGUCCCAUUUGUGGUG
RNAcentral lists this transfer RNA (73 nucleotides) under Danionella cerebrum. RNAcentral describes it as "tRNA-Arg". It matches the Rfam family "tRNA". From Rfam's summary of the family: Transfer RNA (tRNA) molecules are approximately 80 nucleotides in length. Their secondary structure includes four short double-helical elements and three loops (D, anti-codon, and T loops). The record is from RNAcentral. Lineage: Eukaryota; Metazoa; Chordata; Actinopteri; Cypriniformes; Danionidae.